GAUGAACGCUGGCGGCGUGCCUAAUACAUGCAAGUCGAGCGGUAAGGUUCUGCACUUAUUAUUUGAACCGGUAAGUCUGUAAAGAUACUGCUGGAAACAUAGUCACUGGCUAGUGAUUAUGGUCGAAUAAUGUGUGUAGAAUACACGAGCGGCGGACGGCUGAGUAACGCGUAGGAACGUACCCCAAAGUGAGGGAUAAGCACCAGAAAUGGUGUCUAAUACCGCAUGUGCUCCACGGAGUAAAGCUUUAUGCGCUUUGGGAACGGCCUGCGUCUGAUUAGCUUGUUGGUGAGGUAAAAGCUCACCAAGGCGACGAUCAGUAGCUGGUCUGAGAGGAUGACCAGCCAGACUGGGACUGAGAACGGCCCAGACUCCUACGGGA
RNAcentral lists this ribosomal RNA (382 nucleotides) under uncultured bacterium. RNAcentral's name for it is "bacterial SSU rRNA". It matches the Rfam family "Bacterial small subunit ribosomal RNA", at positions 28 to 346 of the family's 1533-position model. The record is from RNAcentral.